GGCAUGCCUAAUACAUGCAAGUCGAACGAGCUUCCGUUGAAUGACGUGCUUGCACUGAUUUCACAAUGAAGCGAGUGGCGAACUGGUGAGUAACACGUGGGGAAUCUGCCCAGAAGCAGGGGAUAACACUUGGAAACAGGUGCUAAUACCGUAUAACAACAAAAUCCGCAUGGAUUUUGUUUGAAAGGUGGCUUCGGCUAUCACUUCUGGAUGAUCCCGCGGCGUAUUAGUUAGUUGGUGAGGUAAAGGCCCACCAAGACGAUGAUACGUAGCCGACCUGAGAGGGUAAUCGGCCACAUUGGGACUGAGACACGGCCCAAACUCCUACGGGAGGCAGCAGUAGGGAAUCUUCCACAAUGGACGAAAGUCUGAUGGAGCAAUGCCGCGUGAGUGAAGAAGGGUUUCGGCUCGUAAAACUCUGUUGUUUAAGAAGAACACCUUUGAGAGUAACUGUUCAAGGGUUGACGGUAUUUAACCAGAAAGCCACGGCUAACUACGUGCCAGCAGCCGCGGUAAUACGUAGGUGGCAAGCGUUGUCCGGAUUUAUUGGGCGUAAAGCGAGCGCAGGCGGUUUUUAAGUCUGAUGUGAAAGCCUUCGGCUUAACCGGAGAAGUGCAUCGGAAACUGGGAGACUUGAGUGCAGAAGAGGACAGUGGAACUCCAUGUGUAGCGGUGGAAUGCGUAGAUAUAUGGAAGAACACCAGUGGCGAAGGCGGCUGUCUAGUCUGUAACUGACGCUGAGGCUCGAAAGCAUGCGUAGCGAACAGGAUUAGAUACCCUGCUAGUCCA
RNAcentral lists this ribosomal RNA (789 nucleotides) under Levilactobacillus brevis. RNAcentral's name for it is "bacterial SSU rRNA". It matches the Rfam family "Bacterial small subunit ribosomal RNA", at positions 41 to 797 of the family's 1533-position model. The record is from RNAcentral. Lineage: Bacteria; Bacillati; Bacillota; Bacilli; Lactobacillales; Lactobacillaceae.